Molecule: ribosomal RNA, 664 nt
Filed under: bacterium
Lineage: Bacteria
Description: bacterial SSU rRNA
Rfam family: Bacterial small subunit ribosomal RNA
Source: RNAcentral
GCAUGGGUUGUGGUGGAAAGCUUUUGCGGUGUGGGAUGGGCCCGCGGCCUAUCAGCUUGUUGGUGGGGUAAUGGCCUACCAAGGCGACGACGGGUAGCCGGCCUGAGAGGGUGACCGGCCACACUGGGACUGAGAUACGGCCCAGACUCCUACGGGAGGCAGCAGUGGGGAAUAUUGCACAAUGGGCGCAAGCCUGAUGCAGCGACGCCGCGUGAGGGAUGACGGCCUUCGGGUUGUAAACCUCUUUCAGUAGGGACGAAGCGCAAGUGACGGUACCUAUAGAAGAAGGACCGGCCAACUACGUGCCAGCAGCCGCGGUAAUACGUAGGGUCCGAGCGUUGUCCGGAAUUACUGGGCGUAAAGAGCUCGUAGGUGGUUUGUCGCGUUGUUCGUGAAAACUCACAGCUCAACUGUGGGCGUGCGGGCGAUACGGGCAGACUUGAGUACUGCAGGGGAGACUGGAAUUCCUGGUGUAGCGGUGGAAUGCGCAGAUAUCAGGAGGAACACCGGUGGCGAAGGCGGGUCUCUGGGCAGUAACUGACGCUGAGGAGCGAAAGCGUGGGGAGCGAACAGGAUUAGAUACCCUGGUAGUCCACGCCGUAAACGGUGGGUACUAGGUGUGGGUUUCCUUCCUUGGGAUCCGUGCCGUAGCUAACGCAUUAAG